Small nuclear RNA from Cannabis sativa, 103 nucleotides. NCBI's taxonomy places the organism in Eukaryota, Viridiplantae, Streptophyta, Magnoliopsida, Rosales, Cannabaceae. The record is from RefSeq and is a predicted model, not a curated record.
GUCACAAUUAAAACAUUCGAUAAAAUUGGAACGAUAAAGAGAAGAUUAGCAUGGCCCCUGCACAAGGAUGACACGCACAAAUUGAGAAAUGGUCCAAAUUUUU